AUGGCAGCAACAAAGAUGUUGUCGCCAUACGACAUGGUGGAGCCGAUGUCGUAUCUGUGCGUGAGCGUGGUGAAGGCGCGGGACCUGCCCACCAUGGACAUCACCAGCGUGCUACACCCCUACGUGGAGGUGAAACUAGGGAACUUCAAGGGCGUGACACAAUGCCUGGAGAAGAACGCCAACCCGGUGUGGCAGCAGUUGUUCACCAUCUCUGGCGCCCACCUGCAGUCCAAUCAGCUGCAGGUUAUUGUCAAGCACAAGGACGUGCUCCGUGACGACUUUGUCGGUCGCGUCGUCUUUGACAUGUCCGACAUCCCCAACCACUCCCCGCCUCAUAGUUGGCCGGCCCCGCAGUGGCACCACCUUUCUGAUGCACGGGGCAAGAGGUUCCCACAUGGCCAUAGUCUCGGCGAGAUCAUGCUCGCCGUUUGUCUUGCCACACAGGUCGACGAGGCCUUGCCAGAGGCGUGGCACUCGGAAGCGCCCCCUCUCUCAUUUCAGGGGCUCACCAACACGCGCUCCAAGGUGUACUACUCCCCCAAGCUCAUCUACCUCAAGGUUGCCGUCAUUGCGGCACAAGACCUCAUCGGCACUGAGGAGGACCGACUGGCAGAAUCCGUCGCAAAGAUCCAGAUAGGCAGCCAGAUCAGGCGGACGCGGCCGGGGAAGCCACAGGGAUCCGUGAAUCCGACAUGGAAUGAAGAGUUCAUGUUCGUGGCCAGCGAGCCAUUUGAGGACGAGUUGGUGGUGACAGUGGAGGAGAAGGUCUGUGCCGGGAGGGCCGAGCCGAUUGGGCGCAUUAUCAUCCCUCUGGCAGACAACGUGCCGCGCAACGACCUGGCCAAGUCGGUGCCGUCCAAGUGGUUCAGCCUCUCGCAUGGGAUGAUGGAGAGCAAGGACAAGGAGUCAUUCAAGACGUUCGCCAGCAAGAUCCGUCUCAGGAUGAGCCUGGAGACGACGUACCACGUGAUGUACGAGUCCAUGAACUACAUCAGCGACCUGCAGCCGGCAGCGGGCUUUUGA
This 1023-nucleotide ribosomal RNA is filed under the name Triticum aestivum (bread wheat). Its description in RNAcentral is "partial small subunit ribosomal RNA". Lineage: Eukaryota; Viridiplantae; Streptophyta; Magnoliopsida; Poales; Poaceae. The record is from RNAcentral.